This 261-nucleotide ribosomal RNA is filed under the name uncultured bacterium. Its description in RNAcentral is "partial 16S ribosomal RNA". It matches the Rfam family "Bacterial small subunit ribosomal RNA", at positions 80 to 339 of the family's 1533-position model. The record is from RNAcentral.
UUCCGGGAAGACUUAGUGGCGGACGGGUGAGUAAUGCAUGAGCAACCUGCCUUCAGGAGGGGGAUAACAUCGGGAAACCGGUGCUAAUACCGCAUAGAGCAUUUUGCAGGCAUCUGCGAGAUGGGAAAGGAGCAAUCCGCCUGGAGAUGGGCUCAUGUCUGAUUAGAUAGUUGGUAGGGUAACGGCCUACCAAGUCUGCGAUCAGUAGCCGGACUGAGAGGUCGAACGGCCACAUUGGGACUGAGACACGGCCCAAACUCC